Molecule: ribosomal RNA, 253 nt
Filed under: uncultured bacterium
Lineage: Bacteria
Description: partial 16S ribosomal RNA
Rfam family: Bacterial small subunit ribosomal RNA
Source: RNAcentral
UACGGGGGGGGCAAGCGUUGUUCGGAAUUACUGGGCGUAAAGGGCGCGUAGGCGGUUUGCUAAGUUGAAUGUGAAAACUCUGGGCUUAACCCAGAGCCUGCAUUCAAUACUGGCAGGCUAGAGUUCUGGAGGGGAUAGCGGAAUUCCUGGUGUAGCGGUGAAAUGCGCAGAUAUCAGGAGGAACACCAAUGGCGAAGGCAGCUCGCUGGAACGGUACUGACGCUGUGGCGCGAAAGCGUGGGGAGCAAACAGG